UGGGCUUGACAUGCGCCAGACAUCCCUAGAGAUAGGGCUUCCCUUGUGGUUGGUGUACAGGUGGUGCAUGGCUGUCGUCAGCUCGUGUCGUGAGAUGUUGGGUUAAGUCCCGCAACGAGCGCAACCCUUAUCCUAUGUUGCCAGCGGUUCGGCCGGGGACUCGUGGGAGACUGCCGGGGUCAACUCGGAGGAAGGUGGGGAUGACGUGUGCGUAACAGAA
This 220-nucleotide unclassified non-coding RNA is filed under the name uncultured Actinomycetes bacterium. RNAcentral's name for it is "uncultured actinobacterium contains 16S-23S intergenic spacer region". It matches the Rfam family "Bacterial small subunit ribosomal RNA", at positions 976 to 1198 of the family's 1533-position model. Lineage: Bacteria; Bacillati; Actinomycetota; Actinomycetes. The record is from RNAcentral.